GACGAACGCUGGCGGCGUGCCUAAUACAUGCAAGUUGAGCGCUGAAACGUGGUGCUUGUACCAACGAGGUUAGCAGCGAACGGGUGAGUAACACGUGGGGAAUCUACCUUUAAGCGUGGGACAACAUCUGGAAACGAAUGCUAAUACCGCAUAAAAACUUUAAACGCAAGGUUUAAGAUUGAAAGAUGCUAUUGCAUCACUCAAAGAUUAUCCCGCGUUCGAUUAACUAGGUGGUGAGGGAAAGGCUCACCAAGGCGAUGAUGCGUAGCCGACCUGAGAGGGUGGUCGGCAACACUGGAACUGAGACGCGGAACAGACUCCGACGGGAGGCAGCAGGGGGGAAUCGGCCACAGUGGGCGGUAGGCUGGCGGAACAACGCCGCGGGGGUGAAGGAGGUCGGCUGAUCGUAAAACUCUGUUAUUGAAGAAGAACAAAGGUGGAAGAAACUGCACGACUUGACGGUACCUAAUCAGAAAGCCACGGCUAACUACGUG
This 494-nucleotide ribosomal RNA is filed under the name uncultured bacterium. Its description in RNAcentral is "partial 16S ribosomal RNA". It matches the Rfam family "Bacterial small subunit ribosomal RNA", at positions 28 to 507 of the family's 1533-position model. The record is from RNAcentral.